GUUGACCUUACAGCAAAUCUUACAAUUUCAUCCUAAGAAAAAAUACAGUCAACUG
Molecule: non-coding RNA, 55 nt
Filed under: Dictyostelium discoideum
Lineage: Eukaryota; Evosea; Eumycetozoa; Dictyosteliales; Dictyosteliaceae
Also listed under: 1 other name
Description: Class I RNA from Dictyostelium
Rfam family: Class I RNA from Dictyostelium
Source: Rfam by way of RNAcentral